This 1678-nucleotide long non-coding RNA is filed under the name Homo sapiens (human). RNAcentral's name for it is "HSALNT0184379". The record is from RNAcentral. Lineage: Eukaryota; Metazoa; Chordata; Mammalia; Primates; Hominidae.
AGGAAGGAGGUGCCCAAGAAAACAGGUUUAGAUUUGGAAAUCAGGAGAUCUCUGGGGGCUUUCAAGAGAAUUAUUUGAGUGGUGGGUUGUGUAGACAAGAUUGCCACUCCUUGGGGGGCAUCAGGAUCCUGGAUCCAGUUGGUUGAUCCAGGGACACAAAGGUUCAUUUCUUUGAUUUCCUUCACGGGGACUCCGAAGGGCCUCCCCAGAGCCACAGCUUCCAGAGGGAUCUGACGAGGCCUCUGUGGAAAGCAACGCAGUUCAAGUUCAGUCUCUGCCUAAUCCUGUUUUCCUCACUCUCUCAAGGUGAGUGAGGUCUAUGGGGGUAAGCCCCCCCGCCUCCCCGUAGACCUCCUGGAAUGCCUGGAACAGCUCAGCAACCUGGGCACAGGUGGCUUGAGACAACCUAGCCAUUCGGGCCUGCUGCCAGAGUGAACGCCACAGGGAGGCCUGCCGGGUCUGGGGAGCAUGAGCUGGUCAGGCCCCCAGUAGACCCCUUGCAGGCUGAUCUCCAUCUCCAUGCAGAGUCUGUAUCCUAGAAAUCCAACCUGAGAUCCUGCGGCACCGAGAAAGGGAAGCUGUUUCAAGAGAUAGGAAUUGUCAGAAAAAGCCGGAGAAGGUGGUGUUAAAGGAAAACAUUGAGAAUGGGGAGUGAAGACGAGGGUUUUUCGUAGCAGAAGAUGGAUCUUCGAAAGCCAGGAGGCAGAGGAGAGCAACGCUGUCGGUGAGAUAAAGGACUGAGGAAUGACCAGAGGUUAAAUGUUGAUGAGCUGAAUUAGCUUCAGUUCAAUCUGCAUUUGACUAGGAACUUGAUGACUGAGGCUGCUCAUUUUUGCAACAAUACCUGGGGUAGAGAAAUGACUGUAGAAUUGAACCUCACAAUCUCAGGUGUAAUUCCCAUGAGAAAGAUAUUACACCAGAAAUAGGAGGUUUCCAGCUGUUCUCAGGCAUGCUUUCAAUGACACUAAGAACAUCAGUUGCACUAAUUGGUGCUUGAAAUAAUUAUUGAUCUUCAUCAGGAGUGUCAAAAGCAUUGCUCAAAUGUCCAACUGCUUGUCAUGCUCUCUUGGCAUUCUACGCGAAGGACUUCACAGACUGUUUCUUUCCCAGGAGAGCAUUAGCUAAGGCAAAACAUAGAAAAACACAUCUAGGAUACAGAUAACAUAAGUACAGACAGCUGAGCAAAUAUAUAAAUAACACCCGAAAUGACACUUAAAUAUUUACAGCUGGAGAUUUCUGCUACGUGCAGCACAUACUGCUAAUCCUCUCUCAUCUCCAGGAAGUUUUCAAAAACCUGCUUCUGUAACUAGUGGACAGGUCUUCUGGAUCCAAGGUCACCUGCUGGGGAGAAAGAGAAGCCUUUGGAUAAACAUCACAAGUUUUCCUGGAACAUGGAUUUUAUUUAAGAUUUUUUGGAAAGAAGGGAAUAAGGUUUUUACCUUUGUAAUGUUUUUACAAAUAUUUUCAAAAGUGUAACAUGUAUAUGUGCUCAUUUUAGAAAAUUUGAUCAGUAUAAAAUAUUAAAGAAGAAAGUAAAAGCUCAUUUGGAAUCUUAUCUGUUGGAAGGAAUCACUGUCUUGCUAUAUGUUGGUGAAUAUCCUUUUGAUGAUGUGUAUGUGUGUCAGUGUGUGUUUGUAACUUGAAUUUUUAAAGUUUGAGAAUAUAUUCUAGUCGUCUU